Molecule: transfer RNA, 71 nt
Filed under: Salvia splendens (bonfire salvia)
Lineage: Eukaryota; Viridiplantae; Streptophyta; Magnoliopsida; Lamiales; Lamiaceae
Description: tRNA-Arg
Source: RNAcentral
UGGCCUCCUAGUUUAGUGGUAAGAAUGUCAUAUUGCGACUGUGGAGACUGGGUUCGAAUCCCCACUAUUAA